This 233-nucleotide ribosomal RNA is filed under the name uncultured bacterium. Its description in RNAcentral is "partial 16S ribosomal RNA". It matches the Rfam family "Bacterial small subunit ribosomal RNA", at positions 102 to 334 of the family's 1533-position model. The record is from RNAcentral.
CGGCGACGGGCGAGUAAUGUCUGGGAAACUGCCUGAUGAGGGGGAUAACUACUGGAAACGGUAGCUAAUACCGCAUAACGUCUUCGGACCAAAGUGGGGGACCUUCGGGCCUCACGCCAUCGGAUGUGCCCAGAUGGGAUUAGCUAGUAGGUGGGGUAAUGGCUCACCUAGGCGACGAUCCCUAGCUGGUCUGAGAGGAUGACCAGCCACACUGGAACUGAGACACGGUCCAG